CUGUUUAUCAAAACAUGUCUAUUGAUGGUAUAAAUAGUCUGGCCUGCCCACUGAUUUAAAUAUUUAAGGGCCGCGGUAUUUUAACCGUGCAAAGGUAGCAUAAUCAUUAGGUUUUUAAUUAGAAUCUUGUAUGAACGGUUCGACAAAAGAAAUUCUGUCUUUAUACUAAAAUUUGAAAUUAACUUUUAAGUGAAAAGGCUUAAAUAUAUUAAAGGGACGAUAAGACCCUAUAAAACUUUACAUUGUAAUUUUAUUUAAUUAAAUUUAUAAAUAAAGAUUUGAUUUAAUUAUAUGUUAUGUUGGGGAGACAAAGGUAAAAAUAAAUUUUAACUGCUUUAUGUUGAAACAUAUAUUUAUGAAAGUGUUAAAUGAUCCUUUAUAAAGAUUAAAAGAUUAAGUUACUUUAGGGAUAACAGCGUUAUUUUUUUCGAGAGUUCAUAUCGAAAAAAAAGUUUGCGACCUCGAUGUUGAAUUAAAAUAUCUUUAUAGUGCAGUAGCUAUAAAAGAAGGUCUGUUCGACCUUUAAAUUUUUACAUGAUUUGAGUUCAAACCGGCGUGAGCCAGGUUGGUUUCUAUCUUUUAAAUAAUAAUAGGUUAUUUUAGUACGAAAGGAGUAAAUAACUAAAAUAUUUUUAUAUAG
RNAcentral lists this ribosomal RNA (640 nucleotides) under Potamon sp. AK-2012. Its description in RNAcentral is "partial 16S ribosomal RNA". It matches the Rfam family "Bacterial large subunit ribosomal RNA", at positions 1800 to 2719 of the family's 2925-position model. Lineage: Eukaryota; Metazoa; Arthropoda; Malacostraca; Decapoda; Potamidae. The record is from RNAcentral.